AGCUCCAAUAGUGUAUAUUAACUUUGUUGCAGUUAAAAGGCUCGUAGUCGAAUUUAUGGCUCUGUGUUCUCAGCCCACCAUCAAGUAUGGUGAGCGCUGUUGAACACUGGUCAUCCUUCUGGAAAGCACUUCUGCCCUUGAUUGGGUUGGUUGUUGCGAUCCAGAUCAUUUACUGUGAGUAAAUCAGAGUGUUCAAAGCAGGCUUGUGAAGCUUGUAUGCUCCAGCAUGGAAUAAUAAGAUAGGACUUGGGUUCUAUUUUGUUGGCUUUCAGAACCAAAGUAAUGAUCGAUAGGGAUAGUUGGGGGUGCUAGUAUUUAACGGUCAGCGGUGAAAUGCUCAGACCCGUUAAAGACUAACUUAUGCGAAAGCAUUCACCAAGGAUAUCUUCUUUGAUCAAGA
This 400-nucleotide ribosomal RNA is filed under the name phytoplankton environmental sample. Its description in RNAcentral is "partial small subunit ribosomal RNA". It matches the Rfam family "Eukaryotic small subunit ribosomal RNA", at positions 587 to 982 of the family's 1831-position model. The record is from RNAcentral.